AGGACCUUCUUUGAGUAUUUUCGCAAACACAAUACAGACACCUGCGUGGAUCAUGGAUUCGACGCUCUCCUGGUCACGACCCAGUAGACCAAUCGCUCUUGCGGCGUUCUCUUGGCCUUCCAUCUUCCCUUCUUNNNNNAGCAGAGGCGGAAUUCCUCCCUCUUCAAUAAUCAGCUUCCCGUAACGAUCGUUGUCUCUCGCCAGCGAAACCAGCGAAGCCGCAGCAUCGGAUCUAUCAUCCGGUGACCCAGUAUAGAGAAUCGCAAU
This 267-nucleotide unclassified non-coding RNA is filed under the name Hevea brasiliensis (rubber tree). The record is from RNAcentral. Lineage: Eukaryota; Viridiplantae; Streptophyta; Magnoliopsida; Malpighiales; Euphorbiaceae.